UACAGAGGGUGCGAGCGUUGUUCGGAAUUACUGGGCGUAAAGCGCGCGCAGGCGGCCUUUUAAGUCUCGUGGUGAAAUGCCGGGGCUCAACCCCGUGCCCGCCGGAGAUACUGGGAGGCUGGAGACAUGUAGAGGCAAGCGGAAUUCCGGGUGUAGUGGUGAAAUGCGUAGAGAUCCGGAGGAACCCCAGAGGCGAAGGCGGCAUCCUGGCCCACGACUGACACUCAGACACGACAGCAUGGGGAGCGAGCGGG
RNAcentral lists this ribosomal RNA (254 nucleotides) under uncultured bacterium. RNAcentral describes it as "partial 16S ribosomal RNA". It matches the Rfam family "Bacterial small subunit ribosomal RNA", at positions 524 to 776 of the family's 1533-position model. The record is from RNAcentral.